RNAcentral lists this ribosomal RNA (427 nucleotides) under uncultured bacterium. RNAcentral describes it as "partial 16S ribosomal RNA". It matches the Rfam family "Bacterial small subunit ribosomal RNA", at positions 355 to 774 of the family's 1533-position model. The record is from RNAcentral.
UGGGGAAUAUUGGACAAUGGGCGAAAGCCUGAUCCAGCCAUGCCGCGUGUGUGAAGAAGGUCUUCGGAUUGUAAAGCACUUUAAGUUGGGAGGAAGGGCAUUAACCUAAUACGUUAGUGUUUUGACGUUACCGACAGAAUAAGCACCGGCUAACUCUGUGCCAGCAGCCGCGGUAAUACAGAGGGUGCAAGCGUUAAUCGGAAUUACUGGGCGUAAAGCGCGCGUAGGUGGUUUGUUAAGUUGGAUGUGAAAGCCCCGGGCUCAACCUGGGAACUGCAUCCAAAACUGGCAAGCUAGAGUACGGUAGAGGGUGGUGGAAGUUCCUGUGUAGCGGUGAAAUGCGUAGAUAUAGGAAGGAACACCAGUGGCGAAGGCGACCACCUGGACUGAUACUGACACUGAGGUGCGAAAGCGUGGGGAGCAAACA